This 1020-nucleotide ribosomal RNA is filed under the name uncultured organism. RNAcentral's name for it is "bacterial SSU rRNA". It matches the Rfam family "Bacterial small subunit ribosomal RNA", at positions 202 to 1229 of the family's 1533-position model. The record is from RNAcentral.
AAAGUUCCGGCGGUUAUAGAUGGGCAUGCGUGACAUUAGCUAGUUGGUGAGGUAGAGGCUCACCAAGGCGACGAUGUCUAGGGGGUCUGAGAGGAUGAUCCCCCACACUGGUACUGAGACACGGACCAGACUCCUACGGGAGGCAGCAGUGAGGAAUAUUGCGCAAUGGAGGAAACUCUGACGCAGCCAUCCCGCGUGCAGGAUUGACGGCCCUAUGGGUUGUAAACUGCUUUUCUAUACCAAGAAACACCGAUACGUGUAUCGGUUUGCCGGUAGUAUAGGAAUAAGCAUCGGCUAACUCCGUGCCAGCAGCCGCGGUAAUACGGAGGAUGCAAGCGUUAUCCGGAAUCACUGGGUUUAAAGGGUGCGCAGGCGGAAUAGUAAGUCAGAGGUGAAAGCCCACAGCUCAACUGUGGAAUUGCCUUUGAUACUGUUAUUCUUGAGUGUAGUUGAAGUAGGCGGAAUAUAGCAUGUAGCGGUGAAAUGCAUAGAUAUGCUAUAGAACACCAAUUGCGAAGGCAGCUUGCUAAACUAUAACUGACGCUGAGGCACGAAAGCGUGGGGAGCGAACAGGAUUAGAUACCCUGGUAGUCCACGCCGUAAACUAUGAACACUCGCUGUUGGCAAUACACAGUCAGCGGCUGAGCGAAAGCGUUAAGUGUUCCACCUGGGAAGUGCGAUCGCAAGGUUGAAACUCAAAGGAAUUGACGGGGGCCCGCACAAGCGGAGGAGCAUGUGGUUUAAUUCGAUGAUACGCGAGGAACCUUACCUGGGCUUAAAUGUAUAUUGACGUACUGAGAAAUCAGUAUUUCUUCGGACAAUUUACAAGGUGCUGCAUGGUUGUCGUCAGCUCGUGCCGUGAGGUGUCGGGUUAAGUCCCAUAACGAGCGCAACCCCUACUUCUAGUUACCAGCAUUUCGGAUGGGGACUCUAGAGGAACUGCCUACGCAAGUAGAGAGGAAGGUGGGGAUGACGUCAAAUCAGCACGGCCCUUAUGUCCAGGGCUACACACGUGCUACA